Molecule: long non-coding RNA, 1715 nt
Filed under: Lathyrus oleraceus (garden pea)
Lineage: Eukaryota; Viridiplantae; Streptophyta; Magnoliopsida; Fabales; Fabaceae
Description: Pisum sativum (pea) long non-coding RNA (PSAT_LNC008518)
Source: RNAcentral
UUUGAAAUAAAGAAAAGAGACUUUUUUAUUGAUCAAUAUUCUUUUACAUCACAAAUACACACUAACACUUUAUCACUCUAUUCACUACACAUUCUUUUCUUUUUGCAUACAUAUUAUCUACAUACAUAUAAUAUGAUAUUUCAGAAAAUGACAACAAAAAUCGGUGUAGCUUUAAGCCAAAUUUCCUUUAAGCCUAAGCUUCACACUUAAAAGUUUCAGCUGCAAAUUAAGCUCCCAAUUAGUCUUCAUGAACAAGCCUAACCAACUUAAACCAAGUCAGCUCCAUCAUCAUUGGCGCUUCAUGAUUCGUACCUUUUCAUCCUCUCCAAGCAAGUUGCUCAAGGCAAACCCCAAGCUAUCACCAAGCCAGGCCAAACUGAUCCCAUGUGCACAUAUAAGAUACAAAGAGAAUAUUUUUGUUACUGAGUGAAUUAGGGGGACCACAAUAAAAAAUUCACACUUACAACACAAUUGAAUAAACAAAUUUACACCAACAAACUCAUCUCCCACAAAACCAAAUAUCACAAAUUCAUUUCAAUAAACUCACACACUUGGUGAAUUUCCCACACGUACAAACUACCAUAUAUAAUAAUGCUACUAUUUCACUCAUUCAAAAAAUGAUCACCAUAGUUAUAAUCUGCAUAAAUUCCCCUGAACUGCUUGGUUGCUUAUAGAGUGAUUCUAAUAAUGAAUCACUUUAUGCUAACUUAGAGCAACAUAUUUUAAUGCGGGGUAUUAAUUCUUCUACCUAGAUUUCCUCACCAUUAAACCCUUACUCAAAGCUCUCUAAACCACCUCAUCAUAGCUUCAUACUAAAACUCUGAAGGAGGCAAGCUAAGCCACUCAAUAUGACCACAAUUCAUCACCUUCAAUCUCAUUUUGAUUAAUCCUCACUUUUCAAGCAAUCUAUCUCUCAGCACUCAUCUCAUUUGACUUUAAAUUCUCUACACACACCAAUUAUUCAGCUUAUAUUUUCUAUCACAAUAAUAACAUGACAUACAACAGACAUGCAUUUAUAGAUCACAAAAAAGGAAAAGAGUAAAAGAUGAAGAAUGUAUUCUAAAGCAACGAAGGAAGAAGAUUCUUACCUGAAUCUCCAAGCUUCCUCUGGGUUUCUUUUUCGCUCUCUUCAUCAGUGAUAAUCAUUACCAUGAAUCUUUACAUUCCCGUUGGUAAGUGUUAUUUCUCUUCAUUCUUGAUACCAUGAUGAACGCUUUGACUUGUUAAUCCAUAGUCCUUCCCUAAUUAAUUGAAAUGGUGAACAUCUAAGAUUUAAUUUCAUUUCAGACAUUUUAGGGUUUCAUAUGUUUGUUUUGAUUUGAGGGUUUUGGGUUGGGUUUUGACAAUUUGAAGGUUAUGGUUAGAAAUUGGGUGAAAAGAGGAAGAAAAUAAGGGUAGAAUGAGGAGGUCUGGUGGUGCCCCACCGCAUGAAGCAAUUUCUGGUACAGCGGGGCGAUUUUUGGAUGCCGCGAAAGUUAGAGAACGAAGAGAAAGAGGGUUUAAGAGAGUAUUUGUGAGGAGAGAGCAAAAGGGAAGCGAAAUGAGGUCUUUAUGCUUUUUUAGACUUCUCUCUCUCACUCUCACUCUCUCACUCUCACUCUCUCCCCCUCUCUCUCUCUCUCUCUUUCUCUCUCUCUGAUGGGUUGCUCACAUUUGCCCUUCAUACCUCUUGUUAGAUGGAAACGUGUGUAGUGUUUGGACCAUGGUAUUGGUUG